AGUUAUUUAGCUUAUAUUUAAAGCAUAUAUUUUGAAAAUAUAAGAAAGAGGUAUUUAAUAACUU
Molecule: transfer RNA, 64 nt
Filed under: Atkinsoniella zizhongi
Lineage: Eukaryota; Metazoa; Arthropoda; Insecta; Hemiptera; Cicadellidae
Description: Atkinsoniella sp. 1 YJ-2022a tRNA-Ser
Source: RNAcentral